This 252-nucleotide ribosomal RNA is filed under the name uncultured bacterium. RNAcentral describes it as "partial 16S ribosomal RNA". It matches the Rfam family "Bacterial small subunit ribosomal RNA", at positions 57 to 305 of the family's 1533-position model. The record is from RNAcentral.
GCAAGUCGAGCGGUAACAGAGAGGUGCUUGCACCUUUGCUGACGAGCGGCGGACGGGUGCGUAACGCUUAGGUAUCUACCUGGUAGUGGUGGAUAGCCCAGAGAAAUUUGGAUUAAUACCGCAUACGCCCUACGGGGGAAAGGAGGGGAUCUUCGGACCUUUCGCUAUCAGAUGAGCCUGCGUGAGAUUAGCUUGUUGGUUAGGUAAAGGCUCACCAAGGCGACGAUGUCUAGCUGGUCUGAGAGGAUGAUC